CGGGCGAGGGCGGCGGCACGGGCACGGGUGGCGCUCCGGUCGUCGCGCGCAUCGCGCGCUCGCUCGGUGCGCUGACGAUCGGUGUCGUCACGCGCCCGU
This 99-nucleotide transfer RNA is filed under the name Cellulomonas gelida. RNAcentral describes it as "tRNA-Arg". The record is from RNAcentral. Lineage: Bacteria; Bacillati; Actinomycetota; Actinomycetes; Micrococcales; Cellulomonadaceae.